This 752-nucleotide ribosomal RNA is filed under the name Phocoenobacter skyensis. RNAcentral's name for it is "partial 23S ribosomal RNA". It matches the Rfam family "Bacterial large subunit ribosomal RNA", at positions 1914 to 2665 of the family's 2925-position model. The record is from RNAcentral. Lineage: Bacteria; Pseudomonadati; Pseudomonadota; Gammaproteobacteria; Pasteurellales; Pasteurellaceae.
GAAGCCCCAGUAAACGGCGGCCGUAACUAUAACGGUCCUAAGGUAGCGAAAUUCCUUGUCGGGUAAGUUCCGACCUGCACGAAUGGCAUAAUGAUGGCCAGGCUGUCUCCACCCGAGACUCAGUGAAAUUGAAAUCGCCGUGAAGAUGCGGUGUACCCGCGGCUAGACGGAAAGACCCCGUGAACCUUUACUAUAGCUUGACACUGAACCUUGAAUUUUAAUGUGUAGGAUAGGUGGGAGACUUUGAAGUAGCAACGCCAGUUGUUAUGGAGUCAACCUUGAAAUACCACCCUUUAACGUUUGAUGUUCUAACGAAGCACCCGAAACGGGUGUUCGGACAGUGUCUGGUGGGUAGUUUGACUGGGGCGGUCUCCUCCCAAAGAGUAACGGAGGAGUACGAAGGUUUGCUAAUCACGGUCGGACAUCGUGAGGUUAGUACAAUGGUAUAAGCAAGCUUGACUGCGAGACGGACAUGUCGAGCAGGUACGAAAGUAGGUCAUAGUGAUCCGGUGGUUCUGAAUGGAAGGGCCAUCGCUCAACGGAUAAAAGGUACUCCGGGGAUAACAGGCUGAUACCGCCCAAGAGUUCAUAUCGACGGCGGUGUUUGGCACCUCGAUGUCGGCUCAUCACAUCCUGGGGCUGAAGUAGGUCCCAAGGGUAUGGCUGUUCGCCAUUUAAAGUGGUACGCGAGCUGGGUUUAGAACGUCGUGAGACAGUUCGGUCCCUAUCUGCCGUGGGCGUUGGAGAAUUGA